UUACAUAAUAUUAUUGAAUUGUGAUUUUAUUAUGAAUAGUAAUUAUUCCCAAAAUAAUCAAAAUGAACGUGAGCAACAUCGAAAGCGUCAUUUUCAGGAUUAUACAUAUGAUAAGAAAGUUAGACGUAACAAAACAACUACCAUUUUUGGUCAGCACAGGUAGAAGAAUAGAAGCUAGUUCAUAUUGAUUUGAAAGGUGCUCCUCCUCGAGUCAUUUAUUUUGAAAAGCUAUUUCCAUUGUUGAAAGAAUGGGGUGCUACAGGAAUAUUACUUGAAUGGGAAAACACAUUUCCAUAUGUUACAACACUUUUACCAAUAGGCAGCAGUGGUCCGCAUAAUACUUUAAGUGGAUAUACUGCAGACGAAGCUCAUCAAAUUUUACAAUUAGCAGUAAAUUCAGGGCUGUCUAUAAUUCCACUUAUUCAAAUUUUUGGACA
Long non-coding RNA from Ceratosolen solmsi marchali, 437 nucleotides. RefSeq lists it as uncharacterized. Lineage: Eukaryota; Metazoa; Arthropoda; Insecta; Hymenoptera; Agaonidae. The record is from RefSeq and is a predicted model, not a curated record. The transcript has 3 exons.